CAUGGAGAAGGGGUCAAAGGAGGAAUCCGCUGAAGGAGAGGUUCGCGUCCCAUUAGGUAGUUGGCGGGAUAACAGCCCACCAAGGCGACGAUGGGUAGCCGAGCUGAGAGGCUGAUCGGCCACACUGGAACUGAGACACGGUCCAGACUCCUACGGGAGGCAGCAGUGGGGAAUAUUGGGCAAUGGGCGAAAGCCUGACCCAGCAACGCCGCGUGAGGGAAGAAGGUUUUCGGAUUGUAAACCUCUGUCGCAGAAGACGAAGGAAGUGACGGUAUUCUGUGAGGAAGCCCCGGCUAACUACGUGCCAGCAGCCGCGGUAAUACGUAGGGGGCGAGCGUUGUCCGGAAUUACUGGGCGUAAAGGGUGCGUAGGCGGUUAAUUAAGUUGGAUGUGAAAUUCCCGGGCUUAACUUGGGAGCUGCAUUCAAAACUGGUUAACUAGAGUUCAGGAGAGGGAAGCGGAAUUCCUAGUGUAGCGGUGAAAUGCGUAGAUAUUAGGAGGAACACCGGUGGCGAAGGCGGCUUUCUGGACUGACACUGACGCUGAGGCACGAAAGCGUGGGGAGCAAACAGGAUCAGAUACCCUGGUAGUCCACGCUGUAAACGAUGAAUACGAGGUGUAGG
Molecule: ribosomal RNA, 623 nt
Filed under: uncultured bacterium
Lineage: Bacteria
Description: bacterial SSU rRNA
Rfam family: Bacterial small subunit ribosomal RNA
Source: RNAcentral